CCCCUGGUAAAAGGGGAUACCAUUUACAUACCUUCCCUAGUCAUUGGGAACAAAACUUACUUUUCCUUCCCGGGUAUUGGGAAACCUUUUGGUUAAUUACUGUUUAUACGGAUUGCAACUAACGGCACUAAACGAAACUCUAUCACUCAAGUCCCUACUACAAAUACCGAUUAGUCGCCGGGUUAGGCGAGCGGGUUAUUAGUUGAUAGCGCUAUUUAGGUGUUUACCAGCCUCACACCGUGCCCUGGUUUGGGACGGGCGUGAACUAAUGUACUCAGAAAUCCGUCAAUGAUGAUAGAACAUUGACAUCGGGGCAUCCUGCGGAUACGCAACGGUAACCAGUGACGAUGGAGCUUGCAGCUUGGGAACGUCCUCACACCGUGCCCUGGUUUGGGACGGGCGUGAACUAAUGUACUCAGAAAUCCGUCAAUGAUGAUAGAACAUUGACAUCGGGGCAUCCUGCGGA
RNAcentral lists this long non-coding RNA (466 nucleotides) under Helianthus annuus (common sunflower). RNAcentral describes it as "sRNA HanXRQr2_Chr02g0064771". Lineage: Eukaryota; Viridiplantae; Streptophyta; Magnoliopsida; Asterales; Asteraceae. The record is from RNAcentral.